RNAcentral lists this ribosomal RNA (439 nucleotides) under uncultured bacterium. RNAcentral's name for it is "partial 16S ribosomal RNA". It matches the Rfam family "Bacterial small subunit ribosomal RNA", at positions 339 to 795 of the family's 1533-position model. The record is from RNAcentral.
CUACGGGGGGCUGCAGUGGGGAAUAUUGCACAAUGGAGGAAACUCUGAUGCAGCAACGCCGCGUGGAGGAUGACACUUUUCGGAGCGUAAACUCCUUUUAUAUAGGAAGAAGAUGACGGUACUAUAUGAAUAAGCGCCGGCUAACUCCGUGCCAGCAGCCGCGGGAAUACGGAGGGCGCAAGCGUUACUCGGAAUCACUGGGCGUAAAGAGCGUGUAGGCGGAUUAAAAAGUCAGAAGUGAAAUCCUAUAGCUUAACUAUAGAACUGCUUCUGAAACUCUUAAUCUAGAAUAUGGGAGAGGUAGAUGGAAUUUCUGGUGUAGGGGUAAAAUCCGUAGAGAUCAGAAGGAAUACCGAUUGCGAAGGCGAUCUACUGGAACAUUAUUGACGCUGAGACGCGAAAGCGUGGGGAGCAAACAGGAUUAGAUACCCCCGUAGUC